GGCGCGUCGCGGCCAUAUUGUCCUGUCACAGCAGUACUUGGAAGCUACUGCUGCGUCUGGACAAGCCGGCCGCGGCGCCGCC
This 82-nucleotide microRNA precursor is filed under the name Bombyx mori (domestic silkworm). RNAcentral describes it as "microRNA bmo-mir-1000 precursor". The stretch from base 8 to 74 matches the Rfam family "mir-1000 microRNA precursor family". The record is from miRBase by way of RNAcentral. Lineage: Eukaryota; Metazoa; Arthropoda; Insecta; Lepidoptera; Bombycidae.